AGGCUUGCUGUGGGGAGAUUAAAUGGAUAUGGGUAUCGAUACCUGCUGCGGUUAAAAUAAGGUGCUCGCCUGAAAUGGCAUCAGUUGAAACGCCUACCACCAUGUUGGGGGUAAUGUUAUCUUGUAGAUUAGGGUUACCGCUUUUACCUACGCCUACGAUCUUACCGUCUUUAACACCCACGUCAGCUUUAAUGACACCGAGUUUAGCAUCAACAAUCGUCACAUUGGUAAUAACGAGGUCUAACACACCAUUGUCGCUGGUGAGGGUGUUAUCAGCGCCCAUCCCAUCACGU
RNAcentral lists this small RNA (293 nucleotides) under Entomomonas moraniae. Its description in RNAcentral is "5' ureB small RNA". It matches the Rfam family "5' ureB small RNA". Lineage: Bacteria; Pseudomonadati; Pseudomonadota; Gammaproteobacteria; Pseudomonadales; Pseudomonadaceae. The record is from RNAcentral.